AACAAUGUACCAAAAUAGUUCAAGAUUAUAUACUCGAGUUCAGUUAAGUGAAUAGAACAAUGAAGACUAUGAAAUUCAGCACACGAUUUAUGUCCAUUGUCCGCAUAGAAAAAGUAUGAGACACUUUAGGAAAGAAGUAAAACUAUCAAAAUAUUGAUACGUAUCAUGUAGUCGGUUAACGAAAGAAACGAUUUUAGUCGCAAUUUAAGAAAUCGGAUUUGGUAGAGAGCUACGCGAAAAAUUGGCCCAACACAAACUAAGAACACGACAUAUCUUUGGAGCCACGCUCAGUAAUACAUUCAUGAUUUCUUCUUAAGAUGAUCCAAGUUCGUAUGGUUCUGUUUCUAGCAUAAAGGGGCAUCAAUAAUGAAGCGGAAAUUUUUUGAAAGUACACUUUUUCAUAUGACGUGCAUUUCUACACUGUAUAUACAUUUUAAAACCUUGUGACAAUUGCGAUAUUCUGCUACUUCUUCUCAGGUCGGUUUUUGGAGAAAAUAUAUGUUGUUUUCAAUUAUUAUAAAGAAAUAUAUUUCUUCUUCUUCUUCUUCCUGCUGUCUAUAGGCAUCAUUGCAUGUUUUUCUUCACAUCAUUGCCUCUGCUCUUUGUCCUGCUGGUGAUUUGUCCCUUGAUAUUUUCUCAAUGUGCUCAUUCCAUUUUAUCUUUCUAUCCAGUACCCAGUCAUUGAUGUUAUCUAUCCCGCAUGUUCGUCUUAUGUUUUCACUUCUUUCUCUAUUCAUUAGUGUCCCGGCUAUUCUUCGAACUAUUUUCAUUUCUGUAGUCUUGUUUUAUCAAUUUCUUGUUUUCAAUUAUUGUAAAGAUAUAUCAAGAGCUAAUUAACGCAUGCUUAUCCGAAAAUGUAAAGGUUGUUCAUAACAAUUGGAAAACUAUUUUUUAUCUAACUUCGUGUUAUCACACUAUCCUUUAUUCAUUAUACUCUUAGCGAUGUUUCAUUAUCACCUUGUAAGCGAACUAGCUACCUUUAUCUGCAAACGUGUUUUUAAUCGAACACUUCGAUAUAAAGUUCUUGUUUAGGAAAGUUUCACAUCUUCCAAUUACACGCCUACCGAAAAUAUUCGUAAAAAAAUAAUUAUUACUCCACCUAGGAGUACAUACAUAUAAAAAUCACAAGAAAACAAUAACAAAAAUGAAGUCAAAUUAAUGUUAUAGGCAUCUAGAGUUUGAUAUAAAACCUUAUGUCUGUACAUUAUUUUCAUUGAGUGGAAUGAUAAGCGGGUCCUCAUAAUGAAAAUUCCUUAAAAGCAGAACCGGACUUAGGCAUGGGCCAACCCGGUCGUGCGCCGGGGGCCCCCGCUGUGGGGGGGCCUCGCGACGAACCGUAUGAUUGAUUUUUAAACAUAUGAAUGCAAGCGAAAAAAUACGUCCAUAGCCAAUGUUCAGAAUCAAAAUAAAUUUUUUUAUGCACAAUCAUUUUAAAAGUUCCGAAAAAUCACAUUUAAAAAAAUGAAAGCUCGAAGUUGCGCCCAAUGCAUGGUAUCGCUGAUUUAUUUUUUAAAAUCACAACGACGAGUUAUAAACUACGCUUCCCCCGGAUGAGCUGUAGAUAUUUUAUUACAUAUUUACGAGUGUGCGCGAGCGCUUGUUUUUUAGGCUUUCUUGAAAUCACCUCGUACAUUGCGAAACAUAGGAAACACUGCAAACUAAAUCAAUAUAGCGUAUUGUGUAUUGAAAAUGAGCUACUGAAAUCGAUUGACUGCACUAGUGUUAUUGAAGAAUUUGUAAGUAGCAAAAUAAGAAAAAAACGUUUUUAAUUUAUGAACGUAAUUUUGUACUAUUUUUAGUUAGAAAUAAUGAAUAAAUUGACUAUAAUGAAAAAUCAACCUAAGAAUUCACGUAAAACGCCCGCCUUACAUAGACCCCUUAAGUAUUUUGGCCCGGGGGCCACGAUGACUCUAAGUCCGGCUCUGCUUAAAAGUUUCCUCUUCAUCGAGAAAUUUACAGAUCUCUUGAACCGUUAAUAUUAUUGACAUCAAAUGAGGGGAAUAAUUUGUUUUCAAUAUUUAGAUAUUGUACAGUUUGUAGCUGCUGGAUUUCUAUGUUUCAAAUAUAUAUUGAUACGGUUUUCGGUAUAGUGGUAUUGCAUUCUCUAAUAUGAACGAUAAUUCCAUAUAUCUUGUAGAACUUAUUGGUUUCCUAUACCAAACAAUUUUUAUAUUUUCGUUUCUAAUAAAUUAGGUGUCACGAAAAGAUAAAGAUUAUUCAGCAUUUUCUCUUUCUAUAGUAAAUUCUAUAUGAGGGUCGAAACUAUUGAAGUAAAAUAGCAAAUUGUCAAUUUCAUUGUAUGGAAAAGUUAUAAUUAUCAUAUUCUUUAAUGAAGAAUAAUUUUAAGGGUAAAA
Diorhabda sublineata is the source of this 2354-nucleotide long non-coding RNA. RefSeq lists it as uncharacterized. The record is from RefSeq and is a predicted model, not a curated record. The transcript has 2 exons. Lineage: Eukaryota; Metazoa; Arthropoda; Insecta; Coleoptera; Chrysomelidae.